UGCACUGCCCCUGACUGUAAUGCCCUAUGCUCUUUUCCUAUAGGCACUUCUCCUUGCUAAACUGGUGUCAGUUACAUAGGAUUUCUGCUCAUGUGCAUCUCAUCUUCCUACAGUUCUUUUAUCUCACUGCAUUUGAGACCAAAUUUGUCCUCCCCAGAGUACUUAAUGAAAUUGGAGGCAUUUUGUUAUAAACAUGUGAUGAAUAAAGGGAUAUUGCCCUAACACAGUACUUUUUGUUUUAGAAUCUUUCAUGGGGUAUUUGAAUGCUUCCUCUAGUCUUGAUAAGAGGUGUGAGCCCACAGAUAUCUUGUAGUAGCACACCACCUGGCAUACCACAAUAUUGACCUGGGUUGCAGAGCAAGCUUUUGCAUUCAAGAUAAGUAUAUUUACAAUGAAGAUAGAAACAGAAUUGCCUUCCUGGAAAAAACCCAAACCAAACAAGAUUAUGUAGAGGAUGAAAUCAAACCUGCUGCUGAAAGAAAAAGCUGGGGCAGCCUGCAGGCACACACAGGCACACUGGCAGCAAGCGUGUGCGUGCCUGUGCGACAGAGAGCAGGAGUGAGCGAAGGAGAGGAAGCUCUGAAACUUAAACUCCUCCUGCAGCUCUGCAUCUGCUCUGAGUCACUGCUAUGACUCACACUGACAGCGUUCACGUUAGCUAGCGUUCAGAUGGAGCAGCUCUGGCGACAGAAGAAGCAGGUUAUAUUAUUGAUUACCUGCUGCAGCAGACAGUUGCGCCAAGAUAUUUUUUUACGAGCACAGACGAAACAGAGGAGGGUCUACUGAGCACCGCUAUUAUUAUUGUUGUUUUCUUAAGAAACUUCAAGAACAUGCUUAACAUCUAAACACCAAGAUGACAGUCCCUGACUCAACACAACCCUGAAGACAGCCUCUCCAUCCUACUUGUCCACAAACUCUUCGUGCAAAUGCUGACCACCAGAGAGAACUCGCUCUGAUUCAUCUUGUUUUCAAGCUGCCUGCUAUGUCCCUCUUUCUGCUGCUGAAAUGCCAUAAAUGGUUUGUUAUCUCCAGUGAACCCAAGCAGAAGAUCCCAGCUCGGUGUUGUGCCCUCCUGCUCCUAACCUACAGGACAUCACCGGUGCUUGCACAACUGGUUUUCUCGUCUCUGCAUUACUCCAGAGCCAUGUUUUGUCAUCUCUGCCCUCACUGAAGCUGUUGCAGACUUCCUGCUGAAAUUUAAGCCCCCUUCUUCCAUUUUCACUUGAGCUGCUCUACUGUAACCUGUUUAAUGAUUCUCUCCCCUUGGUAGGUUUUCCACCUAGGUGAGCCUUAAGUGAUGCAAAGCUCAUGUAACUCAGCUCUUCCCUUUUGCUUCUGUGCUGCUUGUGUUGUGAACGACAGGCGGGGUGUUGAGCUGUCCUUUUAUUUGUUUCUUCCUUCGUAAAACCUGCUACUUUUUUUUCUGUAGCUUCCUUUGUGGCCCUGCUGUAACUGUGUUAUUCUGACCCCUUCAUUUGCCUUCCUGGCACGUGGGAAGCAAUGCUGCUGGAUUAGCUCUGGUCUCUUACAUGUUCUGCUUCCUCCGUCCUUGAGCAGAAGUUUCGAAACGGGCAGUGGCAUCGUCCUUCUGUAUGCUGUUCUACCUCUCCCUGCUGUGGCAGGGGGAAAUGACUCUGCAGGAAACACAGCUGUUGCUGUGGGUAGUAAGUGGGGAAAUUAGGGGCAUGGAGAAAAUUAAAGCAUUUCUCCCAAAUUCUUGAAGAAGCUCUGAGGCCUUCAGUGGGAGGAAGCACCUAGUCUCUUAUUUUACACAAAAGCUACAUCGGCAAUGAUUUAUAGCUAGCCUUGUUAAAUGGCUGAAGAAGUACUUAGGGGAAAUCUAGCCCUGUUAUUGAAACUAAUUUACAAGAAUCAUCUUUAAUAUGGGUGAUUUUCUGAUUGUAUUACAGUUUUACCUAAUCAUCAACCCAAGCUGGAGCGCUGCUGUAUCAGAUGCUGAUGUUUACACAGAGUAGAAGAUUGUCCAUGCACUGAAUAACUAUUUUUUUUCACAAAACAUGUUUGCCAUAUUUUAUAAGGUGAUUUUAUAUGAUGAUGAAGCCCCCUUCCAACCAUGAAGAUUCUGCAAUUCUGUGAUUUGCUAUUUGACAUCAGACAUUCUGAAAGAGGACUCUGCAAUAUAUGAAAAAGCAGCAGUAUAUGGGUGUUUGUGUAGUACAUCCUUAUGUCACAGAACAACACAGCGUUUCUGUUUUCAAAUCUUAAUUUGAAAAGGAGGGAGGGGAAAAGUUUGAGUUGGUUUUUUUACAGGCUUUUGUAACUUUUUUUGCAUAUUUUUAUACAGGUUUUUUUGCAUGUUAGAAAUAAGCCCCUGGAAACUGGAGGAAUAAAAUCCUUGCAUGUGAGCA
Molecule: long non-coding RNA, 2369 nt
Filed under: Calidris pugnax (ruff)
Lineage: Eukaryota; Metazoa; Chordata; Aves; Charadriiformes; Scolopacidae
Description: lncRNA (ENSCPUG00000005770.1)
Source: RNAcentral